Molecule: ribosomal RNA, 397 nt
Filed under: uncultured bacterium
Lineage: Bacteria
Description: bacterial SSU rRNA
Rfam family: Bacterial small subunit ribosomal RNA
Source: RNAcentral
AACGAACGCUGGCGGCGUGCCUAACACAUGCAAGUCGUGCGAGAAAGUUCCUUCGGGAGCGAGUAAAGCGGCGCACGGGUGAGUAACACGUAGGUAACCUGCCCCCCAGUCUGGAACAACUAGAGGAAACUCUAGCUAAUGCCGGAUGAGACCACGAUCCCCUUCGGGGGUUGCGGCCAAAGAUGGCCUCUACUUGUAAGCUAUCGCUGAGGGAUGGGCCUGCGGGCCAUUAGCUUGUUGGUGAGGUAACGGCUCACCAAGGCUGUGAUGGCUAGCUGGUCUGAGAGGAUGACCAGCCACACUGGGACUGAGACACGGCCCAGACUCCUACGGGAGGCAGCAGUGGGGAAUAUUGCGCAAUGGGCGAAAGCCUGACGCAGCGACGCCGCGUGGGUGA